Molecule: ribosomal RNA, 535 nt
Filed under: Enterococcus lactis
Lineage: Bacteria; Bacillati; Bacillota; Bacilli; Lactobacillales; Enterococcaceae
Description: bacterial SSU rRNA
Rfam family: Bacterial small subunit ribosomal RNA
Source: RNAcentral
AGGCGACGGGGGGGUCUAUACUGCAGUCGUACGCUUCUUUUUCCACCGGAGCUUGCUCCACCGGAAAAAGAAGAGUGGCGAACGGGUGAGUAACACGUGGGUAACCUGCCCAUCAGAAGGGGAUAACACUUGGAAACAGGUGCUAAUACCGUAUAACAAUCUAAACCGCAUGGUUUUGAUUUGAAAGGCGCUUUCGGGUGUCCCUGAUGGAUGGACCCGCGGUGCAUUAGCUAGUUGGUGAGGUAACGGCUCACCAAGGCCACGAUGCAUAGCCGACCUGAGAGGGUGAUCGGCCACAUUGGGACUGAGACACGGCCCAAACUCCUACGGGAGGCAGCAGUAGGGAAUCUUCGGCAAUGGACGAAAGUCUGACCGAGCAACGCCGCGUGAGUGAAGAAGGUUUUCGGAUCGUAAAACUCUGUUGUUAGAGAAGAACAAGGAUGAGAGUAACUGUUCAUCCCUUGACGGUAUCUAACCAGAAAGCCACGGCUAACUACGUGCCAGCAGCCGCGGUAAUACGUAGGGGGCAAGCGUA